This 1117-nucleotide long non-coding RNA is filed under the name Cervus hanglu yarkandensis (Yarkand deer). RNAcentral's name for it is "lncRNA (ENSCHYG00000000776.1)". Lineage: Eukaryota; Metazoa; Chordata; Mammalia; Artiodactyla; Cervidae. The record is from RNAcentral.
UGGGAUCCUACCAUCUCUCCAAUCUAACCUUGACAUUUUCUAGAGCAUCUGUCUUAUUUCCUUCGUAUAUAUGUAUUUGAUUAACGUCUGACUCCUCUUCUAGGUUGAAAGGUCUCUAAGGGCAAAGUCCACGUUUAUUCUACUGACCUCUACUCCUGAUACGUAUCUAGCUUUCUCUGGACGAAGAGACUGACGGGUGGUUGGAUGAUUGGUGGAAAAUGGAAGGAGAAGAUGGAUGGAUAGGUAAUGGAUGGACGCAUGAACGGAGGAACAGUCACCUCUUCCUCUCAGGUGACUGGCCCUCACUUUUACCUCCUGCGUCCUCAGUGCUCAGAGAACCUGGCACUGUCCCCUUUUCGGCUCGGUCGCCCUUUGUCCCCUCAGGCGGUGCUGUGAAUCCAGUACUGUGAGCACAGUCUGGUCCGCACACAGCGGGCGCUCCGUAAAUUUAUCCUUCAGCGUCAUCUCACUUUUAGGCAGGCUCCGCAGGCGGGCACCGGCCGGAGCUCGCGCCUGCGCCAGGGGUGGGCACUGCUGGCGCCACGUGGACAAGGGAGGCCGCAGGAUCCGCGGACCCGGCGGGGGCGGGGGCGUGCCGGCGGGGGCGGAGCCUCGGAGACCCGGAUGCGGCCCCGCCCCCGUCCGCGGAACCGGAAGUGGAGCGGGGCGCCUGGGAGCUGCGGGCGCGGCGGAGGCUGGGCAGUGCCGAGCCGGACCAGACCGACCCCAGUCGGCGGUGAGCGAGCUCGGCCUCCGCCGGGCGGGGGAGCGGGCCGGUUCCUCAGCUGCGGUCCCCGGGCGCAGCCAGGUCCCGAAACGGGAAGGAAGCGGCGGCCGCGGCGGUCUCGCCGCAUUUCCGCUCGCGGUUUCGCGCGCGGGGGGAGCGCGGGCGAGGCUUCCCGGGGCUGGGGGCCGAGACAGAAGCUCUCCCCAAUGCCUGGGAAUUCCUCGUUGGAUUACUGCGUUUUCAGCAGAGUCUUGUGAGCGUCUCGCAUCUGCACCUGGAGAGGAAAGGUUUGUGCACUGUGAGCAUGCUCAUGUGCUUCACUGGGCGGGCAGGGAAACCCCUUUGACAAGGAAUGCGAGGGGUGUUCUCUCCCUGGGUUUGCGGAGAUAG